RNAcentral lists this ribosomal RNA (253 nucleotides) under uncultured bacterium. RNAcentral describes it as "partial 16S ribosomal RNA". It matches the Rfam family "Bacterial small subunit ribosomal RNA", at positions 524 to 776 of the family's 1533-position model. The record is from RNAcentral.
UACAGAGGGUGCAAGCGUUGUUCGGAAUUAUUGGGCGUAAAGCGCGUGUAGGCGGCUUUGCCAGUCGGGUGUGAAAGCCCUCAGCUCAACUGAGGAAGUGCGCCCGAAACUGCAUGGCUUGAGUACCGGAGAGGAUGGUGGAAUUCCCCAAGUAGAGGUGAAAUUCGUAGAUAUGGGGAGGAACACCGGUGGCGAAGGCGACCAUCUGGACGGAUACUGACGCUGAGACGCGAAAGCGUGGGUAGCAAACAGG